GCUAGCGUAACUUAAUUAAAGUAUAACAUUGAAGAUGUUAAGAUGGACCCUAAAAAGCCCCGCAAGCA
This 68-nucleotide transfer RNA is filed under the name Maccullochella ikei (eastern freshwater cod). RNAcentral describes it as "tRNA-Phe". The record is from RNAcentral. RNAcentral also lists the same sequence under 2 other names. Lineage: Eukaryota; Metazoa; Chordata; Actinopteri; Centrarchiformes; Percichthyidae.